CAGCAGCCGCGGGAAUACGGAGGGUGCAAGCGUUAAUCGGAAUUACUGGGCGUAAAGCGCACGCAGGCGGUCUGUCAAGUCAGAUGUGAAAUCCCCGGGCUUAACCUGGGAACUGCAUUUGAAACUGGCAGGCUAGAGUCUUGUAGAGGGGGGUAGAAUUCCAGGUGUAGCGGUGAAAUGCGUAGAGAUCUGGAGGAAUACCGGUGGCGAAGGCGGCCCCCUGCACAAAGACUGACGCUCAGGUGCGAAAGCGUGGGGAGCAAACAGGAUUAGAUACCCGAGUAGUCCCUGUCUCUUAUAC
RNAcentral lists this ribosomal RNA (301 nucleotides) under uncultured bacterium. RNAcentral's name for it is "partial 16S ribosomal RNA". It matches the Rfam family "Bacterial small subunit ribosomal RNA", at positions 509 to 807 of the family's 1533-position model. The record is from RNAcentral.